UACAGAGGGGGCAAGCGUUGUUCGGAAUUACUGGGCGUAAAGCGCACGCAGGCGGCUCGUCAAGUUCGACGUGAAAGCUCCCGGCUUAACUGGGAGAGGUCGUUGAAAACUGGCGAGCUUGAGGCAAUGAGAGGGGUGUAGAAUUCCCGGUGUAGUGGUGGAAUGCGUAGAUAUCGGGAGGAAUACCAGUGGCGAAAGCGGCACCCUAGCGUUGUUCUGACGCUCAUGUGCGAAAGCGUGGGGAGCGAACGGG
This 253-nucleotide ribosomal RNA is filed under the name uncultured bacterium. RNAcentral's name for it is "partial 16S ribosomal RNA". It matches the Rfam family "Bacterial small subunit ribosomal RNA", at positions 524 to 776 of the family's 1533-position model. The record is from RNAcentral.